Molecule: ribosomal RNA, 1409 nt
Filed under: metagenome
Description: bacterial SSU rRNA
Rfam family: Archaeal small subunit ribosomal RNA
Source: RNAcentral
UCCAGUUGAUCCCGCUGGAGAUUGCGGCUAUCUAGUUUGUAAUUAGACAUGCAAGUCUUUCUAAUCUUCGGAGAGGAAGGCAAACUGCUCAGUAACACGUAGCUAACCUGCCCUCGAGCUGGCGAUACCCUCGGGAAACUGAGGUUAAUAGCCAAUAGGAGAUUGAUACUGGAAUGUUCUAUCUCCGAAAGCUUGCGCGAGGAUGGGGCUGCGGUGGAUUAGGUUGUUGGCGGGGUAAUAGCCCACCAAGCCGAUGAUCCAUAAGGGCUCUUAGCGGAGAGGCCCUGGGAGGGAAUCUGAGACACUAUUCCCAGCCCUACGGGGUGCAGCAGUCGAGAAACUUCUGCAAUGCACGAAAGUGUGACAGAGCAAGCUAGAGUGCUUUUCCGUAUUGGAAAAGCUUUUGUGAGAUGUAAAAAGUCUCACGAAUAAGGACUGGGCAAGACUAGUGCCAGCCGCCGCGGUAAUACUAGCGGUCCGAGUCGCAAUCAUGUUUAUUGGGUCUAAAACAUCCGUAGCUUGUUAUGUAAGUCUCUUGUGAAAUCCUACCUCUUAAGGGUAGAAGUGCGAGAGAUACUGCAUAGCUAGAGACCGGGAGACGUGAGGAGUACGGUUAGGGUAGCGGUUAAAUGUGUUGAUCCUUUCUGGACUAACAAUAGCGAAGGCACCUCGCGAGAACGGAUCUGACAGUGAGGGAUGAAGGCUAGGGGCGCAAAGCGGAUUAGAUACCCGUGUAGUCCUAGCAGUAAACACUGCACACUAAACAUCGGGGCCUCUUCGAGAGGUUUCGGUGCUGUAGGGAAGCCAUAGAGUGUGCUACCUGGGAAGUAUAGCCGCAAGGCCGAAACUUAAAGGAAUAGGCGGGGGAGUACUACAACGAGUGACGCGUGCGGUUCAAUUAGAUUAUACACCGUGAACCUCACCAGGACCGACAGCAGGAUGAAGGUCAGUCUAAAGGGCUUACCUGACACGCUGAGAGGAGAUGCAUGGCCGACGCCAGCCUGUGUUGUGAGAUGACCUGUUAAAUCAGGUAACAGGCGAGACCCGUAUGUAUAUUUACUAAGUGUACAAUAUACAGACUGCCUUGGUAACAAGGAGGAGGGUGCGGGCUACGUUAGGUGAGUACAUCCCGAAUGUCCUGGGCUACACGCGCGCGGCAAUGCUGCAUUCAAUGGGUUGCGACACCGAAAGGUGAAGCUAAUCUCGUAAACUGCAGCCUAGUUCGAAUCGAGGGUUGCAACUCACCCUCGUGACGCUGGAAUUCGUAGUAAUCGUGUGUUAUCAGCAGACGGUGAAUAUGUCAAUGCUCCUUGCACUCACCGCCCGUCAAACCAACCGAGUUUUGCAUUGGCGAGGCUCGUCAGAGACGAACCUUUGUAAGACAAGGUAGGUUAAGUCGUCACAAGGUA